This 29-nucleotide non-coding RNA is filed under the name Rattus norvegicus (Norway rat). Lineage: Eukaryota; Metazoa; Chordata; Mammalia; Rodentia; Muridae. The record is from RNAcentral.
UCCCCUCUAUGUAUGGCCACAUGCCCCUA